GCCUUCUUAACCACACCGACCUGUGGCCACGAUCCCAGACCUCGCCUCUCCUCCUUCGGGCGGAGUUGUCGAGUGUUCCUGGUCGAACGUGCGUCCAUUUCGACACCUCAGGGAGCCAUUACAACAAUUAAUGUCAAUUUCUGGUCGACAGGUCGAAGAUCGAAUUUCCGAGUAGUCUUUUCAGUUCUCUCGCAAGGGAGGACCGGUUGGCAGCGCUCGUCCUGUCUUCUUCGGAAGGUGGGAUUUGUAGUACUCCGGCUGAAGGCGAAAGGGGAUGCACCCGCUAUUCCCAAUCGUGUGGCAUUUAUCCCGUUGGGAGAUGGGUCAUGGGAAAAACCAGCGGUGUUUUGUGUACAGAC
This 359-nucleotide small RNA is filed under the name Cyphellophora attinorum. RNAcentral's name for it is "Phialophora attae A. fumigatus sRNA Afu_309". It matches the Rfam family "A. fumigatus sRNA Afu_309". Lineage: Eukaryota; Fungi; Ascomycota; Eurotiomycetes; Chaetothyriales; Cyphellophoraceae. The record is from Rfam by way of RNAcentral.